RNAcentral lists this signal recognition particle RNA (299 nucleotides) under Aotus nancymaae (Ma's night monkey). RNAcentral describes it as "Metazoan signal recognition particle RNA (ENSANAG00000001959.1)". It matches the Rfam family "Metazoan signal recognition particle RNA". From Rfam's summary of the family: The signal recognition particle (SRP) is a universally conserved ribonucleoprotein. The record is from RNAcentral. Lineage: Eukaryota; Metazoa; Chordata; Mammalia; Primates; Aotidae.
GCCGGGCGCGGUGGCACAUGCCUGUAGUCCCAGCUACUCGGGAGGCUGAGGUGGGAGGAUCGCUUGAGCCCAGGAGUUCUGGGCUGUAGUGUGCUAUGCCAAUCGGGUGUCCGCACUAAGUUCUGCAUCUAUACGGUGACCUCCCGGGAGCGGGGGACCACCAGCUUGCCUAAGGAGGGGUGAACCGGCCCAGGUUGGAAACAGAGCAGGUCAAAACUCCCGUGCUGAUCAGUACUGGGAUCGCGCCAGUGAAUAGCCACUGCACUCCAGCCUGAGCAACAUAGCGAGACCCCGUCUCU